RNAcentral lists this ribosomal RNA (336 nucleotides) under Triticum aestivum (bread wheat). RNAcentral describes it as "partial small subunit ribosomal RNA". Lineage: Eukaryota; Viridiplantae; Streptophyta; Magnoliopsida; Poales; Poaceae. The record is from RNAcentral.
AUGAUACUCGCUGUGCUCUUCGCCAACUCCGAAGGCAACAUCCUCAUCGAGAGGUACGUUACCCUCCUACUCCCAACCACUCACACCACAUCGACAGGCCCGGAGCGUCAGCUCCUGCAAGCCCCGCAACAGCGUCGCCUCCCUCCGCGACGACAGCCUCGACACCUACUGGCAGUCGGACGGCGCGCAGCCGCACCUGGUCAACAUCCAGUUCCAGAAGAAGGUGCAGCUGCAGCUGGUUGUGCUAUACGUGGAUUUCAAGCUGGACGAGAGCUACACUCCCAGCAAGAUCUCCAUCCGGGCCGGCGACGGCUUCCACAAUCUCAAGGAAAUUAA